RNAcentral lists this ribosomal RNA (253 nucleotides) under uncultured bacterium. RNAcentral describes it as "partial 16S ribosomal RNA". It matches the Rfam family "Bacterial small subunit ribosomal RNA", at positions 524 to 776 of the family's 1533-position model. The record is from RNAcentral.
UACGAGAGGCCCAAACGUUAUUCGGAAUUACUGGGCUUAAAGAGUUCGUAGGCGGCUUGGAAAGUGGGGUGUGAAAGCCCUCGGCCUAACCGAGGAAUUGCGCUCCAAACUACCGAGCUUGAGUAGGCUAGAGGUGAGCAGAACUGAUGGUGGAGCGGUGAAAUGCGUUGAUAUCAUCAGGAAUACCGGAGGCGAAGGCGGCUCACUGGGACCUAACUGACGCUGAGGAACGAAAGCGUGGGGAGCAAACAGG